Molecule: small nucleolar RNA, 107 nt
Organism: Tripterygium wilfordii
Lineage: Eukaryota; Viridiplantae; Streptophyta; Magnoliopsida; Celastrales; Celastraceae
Source: RefSeq, a predicted model, not a curated record
AAAGCAUGAUGAGGACACUAAGUUAAAAGAUUAAUAAAUCCUUCCCAUGCCUCAGAAAACGACUCAUCAAGUUGUUGUUCAAAUUGCAUGAUUUUAUCCCUGAGGGC